Molecule: long non-coding RNA, 901 nt
Organism: Eptesicus fuscus (big brown bat)
Lineage: Eukaryota; Metazoa; Chordata; Mammalia; Chiroptera; Vespertilionidae
Exons: 5
Source: RefSeq, a predicted model, not a curated record
UACAUCACAGGUUGUAGCAGAUGUUCUCAGCAUCUCUAUUGAAAUUUCCUUCUCUCCACUUGCAAGAGGAGCCCCAGGGCCCCACCCCUCUGGUAGCGACAAUGAGCUGAUAAAAGCUUUCGUUCACCAGGGAACUUUGGCAAGGGAACUGGCUAGAUCAGCAAGUCCAUUUCCAUUGUGGAAAAACAACUUGAAACUCCUCUCUACGGAUGGGUAUAAACAAAUCCCAAGGUCACAGACUGGUAGGGCUGAUGCUCACUGAAGGUAGAUGAAAGGCCUAACUGUAAGGAGGGGUUCCUUAUGCUACAGGAGGCCCACAUGUGCUCUGGUGUCAUAAUCAAUCUAAAGUUGGAAGAGGAUCAUUCUGCUUGAAAAUUAUAAAAAUGUGCUUGUCUGGUUUUGAUAUCAGGGUACUCAUUAUAAUUGGAGAGCAUAUAAAGAGCUUCCCAGACAAGAAAAAGCUAAAGGAAUUCAUCACCACCAAACCAGUAUUACAUGAAAUGUUAAAGGGUCUUCUUUAAGAAGAAGAAGAAGAAGAAAAGGUAAAAGUAUAAACAAUAAAAUGGCAAUACAUGCAUGUAUAUCAACAAUUGAAUCUAAAAAAUGAAAUAAAUGAAUAAGCAGAACAUAACAGACUUAUAGAUACAGAGAAUAUUUUGACUGUUGCCAGAUGGGAAUGGUGUUGGGGGGGAUGGGUGAAAAAGGUGAAGGGAUUAAGAAGUAUACACUAGUAGUUGCAGAAUAAUCAUGGGGAUAUAAAGUACAGGGAAUAUAGUCAAUAAUAUUGUAAUAACUAUGUAUGGUGUUAAAUUGGUACUAGAUUUAUUGGGGUGAUCACUUAGUAAGUUAUAUAAUGUCUAAUCCCUGGGAUGUGCACCUGAAAAUAAUAUAAUAUUGUAUG